This 253-nucleotide ribosomal RNA is filed under the name uncultured bacterium. RNAcentral's name for it is "partial 16S ribosomal RNA". It matches the Rfam family "Bacterial small subunit ribosomal RNA", at positions 524 to 776 of the family's 1533-position model. The record is from RNAcentral.
UACGUAGGGACCAAGCGUUGUCCGGAUUUACUGGGCGUAAAGGGCGCGUAGGCGGCAAUUCAAGUCAUCUGUGAAAUCUCCGGGCUUAACUCGGAACGGUCAGAUGAUACUGCUUUGCUAGAGUGCGGAAGGGGCAAUCGGAAUUCUUGGUGUAGCGGUGAAAUGCGUAGAUAUCAAGAGGAACACCUGAGGUGAAGGCGGGUUGCUGGGCCGACACUGACGCUGAUGCGCGAAAGCCAGGGGAGCAAACGGG